GAUGAAGAACGUAGCGAAAUGCGAUAAGUAAUGUGAAUUGCAGAAUUCAGUGAAUCAUCGAAUCUUUGAACGCACAUUGCGCCCGUCAGUAUUCUGGCGGGCAUGCCUGUUCGAGCGUCAUUACGCCCCUCAAGUCCCCUGUGGACUUGGUGUUGGGGAUCGGCGAGGCUGGUUUUCCAGCACAGCCGUCCCUUAAAUUAAUUGGCGGUCUCGCCGUGGCCCUCCUCUGCGCAGUAGUAAAACACUCGCAACAGGAGCCCGGCGCGGUCCACUGCCGUAAAACCCCCCAACUUUUUAUAGUCGACCUCGAAUCAGGUAGGACUACCCGCUGAACUUAAGCAUAUCAAUAAGCGGAGGA
This 358-nucleotide unclassified non-coding RNA is filed under the name soil metagenome. Its description in RNAcentral is "partial contains 5.8S ribosomal RNA, internal transcribed spacer 2, and large subunit ribosomal RNA". The stretch from base 1 to 120 matches the Rfam family "5.8S ribosomal RNA", at positions 35 to 154 of the family's 154-position model. The record is from RNAcentral.